Molecule: ribosomal RNA, 433 nt
Filed under: uncultured bacterium
Lineage: Bacteria
Description: partial 16S ribosomal RNA
Rfam family: Bacterial small subunit ribosomal RNA
Source: RNAcentral
AACGAACGCUGGCGGCAUGCCUAACACAUGCAAGUCGAACGAGACCUUCGGGUCUAGUGGCGCACGGGUGCGUAACGCGCGGGAACCUGCCCUUAGGUUCGGAAUAACACCCCGAAAGGGGUGCUAAUACCGGAUAAUGUCUUCGGACCAAAGAUUUAUCGCCUUUGGAUGGGCCUGCGUUGGAUUAGCUAGUUGGUAGGGUAAAAGCCUACCAAGGCGACGAUCCAUAGAUGGUCUGAGAGGAUGAUCAGCCACACUGGGACUGAGACACGGCCCAGACUCCUACGGGAGGCAGCAGUGGGGAAUAUUGGACAAUGGGCGAAAGCCUGAUCCAGCAAUGCCGCGUGAGUGAUGAAGGCCUUAGGGUUGUAAAGCUCUUUUACCCGGGAUGAUAAUGACAGUACCGGGAGAAUAAGCUCCGGCUAACUCCGUG